RNAcentral lists this ribosomal RNA (391 nucleotides) under uncultured delta proteobacterium. Its description in RNAcentral is "bacterial SSU rRNA". It matches the Rfam family "Bacterial small subunit ribosomal RNA", at positions 370 to 779 of the family's 1533-position model. Lineage: Bacteria; Deltaproteobacteria. The record is from RNAcentral.
AAUGGGGGCAACCCUGACGCAGCAAUGCCGCGUGAGUGAAGAAGGCCUUCGGGUCGUAAAGCUCUUUAUGGGGGAAGAUGAUGACGGUACCCCAUGAAUAAGCACCGGCUAACUACGUGCCAGCAGCCGCGGUAAUACGUAGGGUGCGAGCGUUGUUCGGAAUUACUGGGCGUAAAGGGCGUGCAGGCGGAUUGGCAAGCCGGAGGUGAAAGCCCGGGGCUCAACCCCGGAGGGGCUUUCGGAACUGCCAGUCUUGAGAGGGUCAGGGGCCAGCGGAAUUCCUGGUGUAGAGGUGAAAUUCGUAGAGAUCAGGAGGAACACCGGCGGCGAAAGCGGCUGGCUGGGGCCACUCUGACGCUGAGGCGCGAAAGCGUGGGGAGCAAACAGGAUU